Molecule: long non-coding RNA, 317 nt
Filed under: Citrus x clementina
Lineage: Eukaryota; Viridiplantae; Streptophyta; Magnoliopsida; Sapindales; Rutaceae
Description: Citrus clementina (C. clementina) long non-coding RNA (CCLE_LNC003327)
Source: RNAcentral
GAUAAGAUAUGUUAAAGGAAAGGACAAUAUCAAAUGUGCUGCCUAUUUUUUUCUCAACUUUGAAGCACUCUUGGCCAAAAGUUAAGUUCACACGCGUGAGGUUCAUAUGCAAAACUUUCUCUCGAUCUCUCUCUCUCAACUCCAGUAGCCAUUAAGUUGUUCAUCACAAGUACUCAAUUUCAGAAAUUAUUAACCACCACUACCAAUACUCUACACUAUCACAAAAGCGUUGUCCAAUCUAGAUCUGCAAGUAGAACACCAAAUUGGUAAUUACUUGAUUAUAAAUAGUGAUUUUUUAUUUUGAAUAUUAUUUUUUG